Molecule: ribosomal RNA, 253 nt
Filed under: uncultured bacterium
Lineage: Bacteria
Description: partial 16S ribosomal RNA
Rfam family: Bacterial small subunit ribosomal RNA
Source: RNAcentral
UACGAAGGGGGCUAGCGUUGUUCGGAAUUACUGGGCGUAAAGCGCACGUAGGCGGAUAUUUAAGUCAGGGGUGAAAUCCCGCAGCUCAACUGCGGAACUGCCUUUGAUACUGGGUAUCUUGAGUAUGGAAGAGGUUAGUGGAAUUGCGAGUGUAGAGGUGAAAUUCGUAGAUAUUCGCAGGAACGCCAGUGGCGAAGGCGGCUAACUGGUCCAUAACUGACGCUGAGGUGCGAAAGCGUGGGGAGCAAACAGG